GACGAACGCUGGCGGCGUGCUUAACACAUGCAAGUCGAACGGAAAGGCCCUGCUUUUGUGGGGUGCUCGAGUGGCGAACGGGUGAGUAACACGUGAGUAACCUGCCAUUGACUUUGGGAUAACUUCAGGAAACAGGGGCUAAUACCGGAUAGGAGCUCCUGCUGCUUGGUGGGGGUUGGAAAGUUUCGGCGGUUGGGGAUGGACGCGCGGCUUAUCAGCUUGUUGGUGGGGUAGUGGCUUACCAAGGCUUUGACGGGUAGCCGGCCUGAGAGGGUGACCGGCCACAUUGGGACGGAGAUACGGCCCAGACGCCUACGGGAGGCAGCAGUGGGGAAUAUUGCACAAUGGGCGGAAGCCUGAUGCAGCAACGCCGCGUGCGGGAUGACGGCCUUCGAGUGGUAAACCGCUUUCGCCUGUGACGAAGCGUGAGUGACGGUAAUGGGUAAAGAAGCACCGGCUAACUACGUG
RNAcentral lists this ribosomal RNA (468 nucleotides) under uncultured bacterium. RNAcentral's name for it is "partial 16S ribosomal RNA". It matches the Rfam family "Bacterial small subunit ribosomal RNA", at positions 28 to 507 of the family's 1533-position model. The record is from RNAcentral.